This 440-nucleotide ribosomal RNA is filed under the name uncultured bacterium. RNAcentral's name for it is "partial 16S ribosomal RNA". It matches the Rfam family "Bacterial small subunit ribosomal RNA", at positions 338 to 795 of the family's 1533-position model. The record is from RNAcentral.
CCUACGGGAGGCAGUAGUGAGGGAUAUUGGUCAAUGGAGGAGACCCUGAACCAGCAACGCCGCGUGAGGGAAGACGGUUUUCUGAUUGUUAACCUCUGUCCUCUGUGAAGAUAAUGACGGUAGCAGAAGAGGAAGCUCCGGCUAACUACGUGCCAGCAGCCGCGGUAAUACGGAGGGAGCAAGCGUUGUCCGGAUUUACUGGGUGUAAAGGGUGCGUAGGCGGCCCUGCAAGUCAGAAGUGAAAGCCAUGGGCUUAACCCGUGAACUGCUGUUGAAACUGUAGGGCUUGAGUGAAGUAGAGGUAGGCGGAAUUCCUGGUGUAGCGGUGAAAUGCGUAGAGAUCGGGAGGAACACCAGUGGCGAAGGCGGCCUGCUGGGCUGUAACUGACGCUGAAGCACGAAAGCGUGGGUAGCAAACAGGAUUAGAUACCCUUGUAGUC